UGUAUGCGAAGGGAGUUCCCUUCAGCCCAGCAAAGGAUGGUGAGCUGUUCGAAACAGCUGCCGACUCAUUCAUUCACCAACUCAUUCUUUAGACGCGGACGAGAAGACUGGGUUGAUGUUUGAAUGAUGCGGGAGCCGAUUUCGUCAGAGAAAUGUCUUUUCUUGGACUGAAGGGAGCUCCCACUGGUACUACA
Molecule: non-coding RNA, 194 nt
Organism: Picea glauca (white spruce)
Lineage: Eukaryota; Viridiplantae; Streptophyta; Pinopsida; Pinales; Pinaceae
Source: Rfam